GGGUGUGGAUAAGGGUCAUAGUGUGUUCCAGCAGCGUGUCUGCAGGUUCCUCUCUCAGACCUCCCUCAGAGCCAUCACCCAUUGGCUGCCGCAGCUCAGGAGCCUAUUAGACCAACAGGCCUAUCCCCCAACCGUCCACAUACCUGCCUCCUGCCUGGACAGCUUUAUCUCUGUCAACUCAGACAAAAUGGCUGUGAAGAGGACCUUCGGUCUGAACCCAGGCUUCUACUGGCAGACUGUGGAGACUCAGGAACUCAGCUGUCAGAGGCCUGAGACCAUGUGCACUCAGCUGCUACACACUUAGAUAGCUGUUGCUCUGGGAUACACUUCUUUGUUCCUGCAUCCCCUGGUGGUUCACCACACCCUCCACCUUCUCCACAACUCAGGGUUGGGUGUUUGUGGCCUCCGCCUCCUUUACCCUCCUCUUGGCUUUCUGACCAACAGCGCCGGCAGAGUAUCCUACGGGCAGGGAGAUGAUGGAGCCGAUCAGCCUGUCCUUGCCCUGGCUGUCCGAGGGCCUCACGCCCGCACCGUGUGGCAGGAUGUAACAGGCCCUUCAGACCCCCUGCUGGCUAGGAAGACAGACCCGGCAUCCAUCAACGCCCUGCACUACAGCAGCAAGAACUUGCCCCUCCUCUACUCCCCUCGCCUGGCCAGCAGUGUGCACAGGGAACUGGUCACGUGGUUCGCAGGGAGAGUUCCAGGAAAUAAUUCCCAGAACCCUGACCAGGCGCCACUGACAGCUCUGCCCCUGGCGAUGGAGAGGGAAGCAGCCCCUUGUAUUUAACCAGGUCCUCUACCACCCUGUGUGCUACUGUUAAAGUGGACGUGUUCUUGAUAGUGUCUCCAGCUGUGGCGCCAUGCUGCUACAGCCAGGUACUGUCUGUGUGUGAAGGCAGAGGGUUCAGUCUGAGGGGGGCCCAGAGGCUGCAGCUCUCCACCAAACYAACCCAGGCACUGGGACUCACCAGACAGCAGGUGUCAGUGUUCUGCAGUCCGCCCACUGUUACUGUGGAUGAGAAGAGGGUUGCGCUGUCUUCCCACUGCCUGGUCUUACUUCUGAGGAGAGAGAGUGSCCUGCGUCACUGUGCCAGCCUGCCUCCCUUGUGAAAGAGUUGGAGACACAGAGGUUGUUGGGAUGUAUCCACAUCAGACUGUCAGAUGAAGGAAAGCUGGACCCGAGCAGCUGCUUUCACAUGUUGCCCUACAGAGAGAGCCUGCUCCAUAGCUUUGGUGGGCGUAUGUGGGCCGUACCCAACCCCUGCAAUGUAGUGCUGUCCAUUCACAGGUGUCCAUCCAACCCAGAGCUGGAGCAGGUGGUGGUGCUUACGCUGGCUGGAAGGGACAUCAGUCAGGGCCUGAGCCUGCUACACAGGCUCUGGACAGGAGACACAACAGAUACUUUACCCCACAUUAACCAUUCCUACAACACAGCCCAUGCGAUGUCGGGGAGGAUGGAUUCGAGCUACUGGCCAUGAAGUGGCUGCCCACAUUGUCCCGGCAGCAGGCGCGGGAGGUGAGCCCCUAUGAGAGGUAGGUGACCGGCUGUGGCAGAGCAGCCUGGUGGGCUUGGCCUCCUCCCCUGCCCUGGUGUGUGCCCUGAGGAGGGUGGACGCCUUCGCCACCCUACGGCGGCUCCUGCCACGGGACUACCCCGGGAACCUGAACAUACUGUUGUCUCCCACUCCUGAACUGGCCUUCAGACAAGCAUCCCUCUUCUUCUCCCUGGGAGACAUGAUCCCUGGUAAAAACUAGUCAGUGCAAGCUAGGUACUAUUUCACUACUACCCUAUAUCUGGGGUAAUCAUGUCAAGGARAGCUGGGUCUAUGUGGAUUUUCUCUCAUCUUCAGAUCACAGUGUGCGCCCAUUACUGAAGUUCCUACCCCCACCACACAUUAAUGUAGCUGGUAUGUGUCACCGGGUCAUCAGCAUAUUCAAACAACUCUCUCACCCACCUCCCUUCUGACUUGUGUUUAAUGUUCAUUGUUAAACUGCAUGGUGCAGGGUGAGUUUAUUUGGAUGAACUUUGACCUUUUAAAUAACAUGAUGUAAUGUAGGAUGUUUUAUUAAACAUUGGUUACUUGCAAAGUUGAUUACUUCUACAAUGGUUACAAAAAUGUACAAAAGUUGAAAAUAUUUAAGCACCCUAUUUGCCACUCUUGUCUGUUUCCAUCAGGUCCCCAGCCGCUGGUCAAACUGUUCCUGUUCAAGCCUGGAGUGUGGCGCCAUGCUCUGGGGAAAAUCCUCAGCAAAGUCCAGCGGAGUGGCUUCACUGUGGUGGACCUGCAUGUGCUGGUUCUGGACAAUAGCACAGCUGUGUCAUAUUGUUUUAAAUGCAUUGGCUCASUUUUCCUCUUGUGUUUUCCUCUAGGACCKCUCUGCUGUAGAAGCUCAUGUUCAGUACUUGAGCUCUGGGCCUUCCCUGGCUCUGUGCCUGCAGAGGGAGAAUGCUGUGAAGAUGCUACUGGACGUGCUGGGACCUGAGGAACCUGCCCAGGCCCGCGCUCAGGACCAAUUCCUCUGGAGGGCCUGUUAUAGCUCAGACCAUCUACACAGCGGCAUCUAUGGAUCGAGGAGCUAUCAGAGACCUGUUCCCACAGGGCCUAUGCUGCACAGAGACCAACACCAUGAGACAGGAGCAGAUACCAAGUGUACACUCAGACCAUUUGGCUUGUCUGGCCCGUGAACAGAGCCACACUCUUGCCGCUGCGAACAAGCCAUCUUUAUCACACCUUAUGGCUUCUGGACUGAAUUGAGCAGCGCCCUCGGUCCACAGUGCUCUCUGCCAAACCACCUGCCUGCUGCUGCCCUCCAGUGUACUGGGCCCAGCCCCCAUCCACCUGGACCUGCUUGAGCAACUGCUGAGGACAGGCUGCCACCUGGUGGCCGGGAGGAUGAGUGUCCUGGACGAGACCCAGAGAUGUCACAUAGCUGAGACACUGAUGCUACCCUCUGAGAGGGAUGGGAAGAUUUGUGCUCUACACGAGGGUCCUUGUCUUAUCGUUGUUCUACAGAAAGAUAACGCUGUGACCUGCUUUGACMCCAUGCUUGAAAGGCAUUGCAGCUGCUGUGCUAUCUAUUUGAUGRCCUGUCUCCUGAUAGUCAUCAUGCCAUUGUACCACAGCAAUCUGAGUGAACCUUAAUGCUAUAGAGCAUUACCAAGAGGGCCAACCUAUUUUCUGGAAUUCUGUGCCAAUCUUUGAUUAUAAUCCAUUUGAUACAUUCCAAUACUGUAUAAAGAAAAUAUUUAUUUGGUUGUGGUAAGAAACCUUUUUAUGUAACCCCCUCCGAAAAAGUUAAAACAAUGGUAUUUUCAUGUGAAGAAAAUAAAUACUUAAAAUGCUGGUUCAUGUUUC
This is a non-coding RNA of Salvelinus sp. IW2-2015, 3356 nucleotides long. Lineage: Eukaryota; Metazoa; Chordata; Actinopteri; Salmoniformes; Salmonidae. The record is from RefSeq and is a predicted model, not a curated record.